GUCGUCUUUCAGUGUACAUGCACCCCUGGUGUCUCUCUGUGUGUCAUAAUCUCCUCUCCUCAUAAACACACCAGUCAGAUUGUAUUAGAGCCCACCCUAACAGCCUUAUUUAAUUACUUCUUUGAAGGUUCUCUCUCCAAAUAUAGCCACAAACUGAAAUACUAGGACUUCAACAUAUGAGUUUUGGAAGAAAUAACUCCAAAAAGCCCAUAACACUUUUAUUUCCUUGUCUUGUCUAUUGCAUUAGAUAAGACUUGAAAUAGGAUGUUGAAAAGGUGUAGUGAGGGGGGGACACACUUGUCUUGCUCCUGAUCUUAGUGAGAAAGCUUCUAGUUUCUCAGAACUAAAUAUGAUCUUAGCUGUAAGUUUUUGGGGGGGUGCAUUACCACUGUAAGCAUCCUUCGAACUCAGCACCGGUGAGGGAGGUGUCAUAAUAUCUGUCAUAAUAUCUGGAAUACCCCUAGAAAAGCUAUCAGACAUAAGUGGGGAAAGGCCAGCUCUUAAAGGACCCAUGUGCAAAUUCACCCGUUUUGGAAAACAACCUGAAAUCACCAUAAAGAAAGAUGCACUGUCCUUUCUAGAAAAGAGACUCACCUGAUAGGCUCUGGGCACAUCUCAGUGAGAGGGGAGACCUCUCCAUGGACUGAGACAUUGACAACAACCAUUAUUGUGACCUCAUACAGGUGUGCUGACACAGACGCUGGUAGAUGCCAUUGGAGUCCUUCCCCUGGCAUGUUAGCCCAGGAUCUGCCCCGCCCACGACAGUGCUGAUUAAAACCAGCUCAGCCAGGGUGGGCAGCCCACCCUAGGGACUGGCUCCACCAACUGAAGGCCUCGGUCAACUUGUGUGCCUGCAUGGACAGAGUGCCAGGAUCCUCUGCAGGCAGAGAGUAAAUCAAAGGAUUCAACAUGGGAGUGACUAAGGUGUAACAUAAGGAGGCCACCUUACUGAGCUCAGGAAAUCUGUCAGGAGUGAGAUACGUAAAAAAGACAGCUCCAUACAGCACACACAGACUCCACGGUGAGAGCUGCAAGUGGAGAAUGCCUUCUUACAUCCCUCAGUGAAGCACAUCUUUGGAACUGUGAACACAAUACACAAGUAAGAAACAAUAAUAACUAUGAUGGUAGGCAAGAUAAUGGUGCUGGACAAGGAAAGAAAUGCCCAUUUUAUAGAUAAAGAGGUCAGAGAAAGAUAGUCUCUAAAGUGGGUGAGUAUCACAGUGAAAGGGGUCUACAGCCCGAGAAGCACAAAAACGUAAAGUAAAUGUCAUGCUGGUCUGAAGAACUGAGCUGAUGCAGCCACAGAAAUAAGAAACAGCCACCAACUGAGUGCAGAGACAUGUUGACAUCUGUACAGAGUAGAGGAGAGGGUUGCAGAAGGCAAUGAAGUGGUCAGAAGCCAUGGCUGCCAGGAAAAUGCCUCAGUCACAAUGAAGAGGACAAAGAGGAAGCGCUGGGUCGCACAGCCUGUGAAGGAGAUGGACUUGCUCUCAGACCAGAGGUUGACCACAACCUUGGGUGCAACAACAGACGAGUAGAAGAGAUCAAUAAAGGGGAGGUUGCCUAGGAAGAAAUACACUGGUGCGUUCAGCCGGGGAUCAGUCAUUGUAAGGGCCAUUAUCCCAACAUUCCCUAGAAGGACCAUGGCAUAUAUAAGCAGAAAGAGGAGAAUGUAAAGCUUGGAGUGGACCCCAAAGCCAGAAGAAUGAAGUCAGUCACUUCUGAGUGAUUGCUUGUUCCCCUGUCACCCAUGGCAGAAACCUGCUGAGAGGCACAAGGCAAAUAAAUGAACUCUUAGCUUCGAUCCUACCUACAAAUAAUCUCUUAGAAUAUUAGGAUUUAGAAAGCUAUUCUGUAAUCAUUAUUUACUUUAAACUCAUAAAUUAUUGUGACUUAUUAAGCCAACUCCAACUGAUGGUGAAUCAACAGGUCGUUUUAUGCUCUAAUUCAUACAAGCGUUGGAAUUAGAUCUUUUUCCUCUGAGUAUAAUGCAAUGCCUUUCCACCCAAAUGCCUGUCACAUUUGC
Long non-coding RNA from Equus caballus (horse), 2026 nucleotides. NCBI's taxonomy places the organism in Eukaryota, Metazoa, Chordata, Mammalia, Perissodactyla, Equidae. The record is from Ensembl.